Molecule: ribosomal RNA, 329 nt
Filed under: uncultured eukaryote
Lineage: Eukaryota
Description: partial 18S ribosomal RNA
Rfam family: Eukaryotic small subunit ribosomal RNA
Source: RNAcentral
CCCUUAGAUGUUCUGGGCUGCACGCGCGCUACACUGAAGCGUUCAACGAGUAUUUCACCUUGCCCGGGAGGGUUGGGUAAUCUUUUUAAAACGCUUCGUGAUGGGGAUAGAUUAUUGCAAUUAUUAAUCUUCAACGAGGAAUGCCUAGUAAGCGCAAGUCAUCAGCUUGCGUUGAUUACGUCCCUGCCCUUUGUACACACCGCCCGUCGCUCCUACCGAUUGAAUGGUCCGGUGAAGCGUUCGGACCGUGGCCUUUGGACGGUUCGCCGUCUGUUGGCUGCGGGAAGUUCGUUAAACCUUAUCAUUUAGAGGAAGGAGAAGUCGUANCA